RNAcentral lists this small nuclear RNA (128 nucleotides) under Zea mays. RNAcentral's name for it is "U11 spliceosomal RNA". It matches the Rfam family "U11 spliceosomal RNA". Lineage: Eukaryota; Viridiplantae; Streptophyta; Magnoliopsida; Poales; Poaceae. The record is from Rfam by way of RNAcentral.
UAAAAGGGCCGGUUGGCUAUAUAUGCCACAUCCAUCCUCGAUUGAUGGGUGCUGUAUGGCUAUCAAGACAUAUGGCCGGCAUAAUUUGUGGAAACUGUUAGGGUUGGCUCGCUUCGGCCGACCCUCCG